Long non-coding RNA from Aedes aegypti (yellow fever mosquito), 784 nucleotides. RefSeq lists it as uncharacterized. NCBI's taxonomy places the organism in Eukaryota, Metazoa, Arthropoda, Insecta, Diptera, Culicidae. The record is from RefSeq and is a predicted model, not a curated record. The transcript is spliced from 3 exons.
AUGUCAUAUAUAACAGGUCCGGCUCUUAGUAUGUGUUUGCUUGUAUUAGUCACGAAAAAGAUGUAAACAAACGAUCAGCUGAUGGUGACGACAAGGCUGCGAAAAAUUUUGUUCGCAGUUUCCUCAACGUGACGUCAUCUUCGGCUGCUUCGUGAACUUUCGGCUCGCCGAAGUUGGCAUUGCACAGCUACCACUUCAAAACUGAUGUUAUCACAAAUACUGAUUUGAUGUUCGCCCGCACCUCUUAAUACCCCACAUCGGAUGAGAUGGAAAAAGAUGUGUACUGAUGCUAUAAAAGAUGGAAUGGAUGACAUGCAUCUAUGUUGAAAUUGUACCAAUGAAAAGAGUCAGUCUGCUUUUAUGAUAGUAACCUCAUGUAAAAUCAAUCAUCAAAAAGAAAAUUUAUCUGGCAAAACAGCGGCAGUAUAAUAUUUACAAUGCAACGAUCGAUCUGGUCCGAAAGCCAUUUAAAAUCUUCGAUGCCUAUCAAACCAUCGCAGCGGAGUACUGUACAUAAUCCGCCCGAGCAGCUAAGACCACGAAAAAGGCAGAAACAUUUGAUAACUUCAACCGCACCGGAACUGUGAAUUCCGAUUCAAAGACUGAAGAACCUGAAGAAUUUCUAUCGACCAGGUUUAGAACUACGGAACCACGGUUAGGACUACGGAAUAUCGGAUUGACUUUACAAUAUCUAUAAAAAUGUAAUACAAUGCAAUGUAAAUAUUUUUGAAUUAAUAAACUACUCACUGGAUGAGUAGCCCUAAUGGAUGUGGAGGGGAAAUGA